CGCAAGGCGUGGCAUACGGCUCAGUAACACGUAGUCAACAUGCCCAAAGGACGUGGAUAACCUCGGGAAACUGAGGAUAAACCGCGAUAGGCCAAGGUUUCUGGAAUGAGCCAUGGCCGAAAUCUAUAUGGCCUUUGGAUUGGACUGCGGCCGAUCAGGCUGUUGGUGAGGUAAUGGCCCACCAAACCUGUAACCGGUACGGGCUUUGAGAGAAGGAGCCCGGAGAUGGGCACUGAGACAAGGGCCCAGGCCCUAUGGGGCGCAGCAGGCGCGAAACCUCUGCAAUAGGCGAAAGCUUGACAGGGUUACUCUGAGUGAUGCCCGCUAAGGGUAUCUUUUGGCACCUCUAAAAAUGGUGCAGAAUAAGGGGUGGGCAAGUCUGGUGUCAGCCGCCGCGGUAAUACCAGCACCCCGAGUUGUCGGGACGAUUAUUGGGCCUAAAGCAUCCGUAGCCUGUUCUGCAAGUCCUCCGCUAAAUCCACCUGCUUAACGGAUGGGCUGCGGGGGAUACUGCAGAGCUAGGAGGCGGGAGAGGCAAACGGUACUCAGUGGGUAGGGGUAAAAUCCUUUGAUCUACUGAAGA
This 583-nucleotide ribosomal RNA is filed under the name uncultured Nitrososphaerota archaeon. RNAcentral describes it as "bacterial SSU rRNA". It matches the Rfam family "Archaeal small subunit ribosomal RNA", at positions 70 to 656 of the family's 1478-position model. The record is from RNAcentral. Lineage: Archaea; Thermoproteati; Nitrososphaerota.